AAAACUUUCAACAACGGAUCUCUUGGUUCUCGCAUCGAUGAAGAACGCAGCGAAAUGCGAUAAGUAAUAUGAAUUGCAGAUUUUCGUGAAUCAUCGAAUCUUUGAACGCACAUUGCGCCCUUUGGUAUUCCAAAGGGCAUGCCUGUUUGAGCGUCAUUU
RNAcentral lists this ribosomal RNA (159 nucleotides) under Scheffersomyces queiroziae. RNAcentral's name for it is "[Candida] queiroziae 5.8S ribosomal RNA". It matches the Rfam family "5.8S ribosomal RNA". From Rfam's summary of the family: 5.8S ribosomal RNA (5.8S rRNA) is a component of the large subunit of the eukaryotic ribosome. Lineage: Eukaryota; Fungi; Ascomycota; Pichiomycetes; Serinales; Debaryomycetaceae. The record is from RNAcentral.